CAGCCGUAAACUAUGCGCGUUAGGUGUAUCGGUGACCACGAGUUACCGAGGUGCCGAAGGGAAACCGUGAAACGUGCCGCCUGGGAAGUACGGUCGCAAGGCUGAAACUUAAAGGAAUUGUCGGGGGAGCACCACAACGGGUGGAGCCUGCGGUUUAAUUGGACUCAACGCCGGGAAGCUCACCGGAUAAGACAGCGGAAUGAUUGCCGGGCUGAAGACUCUGCAUGACUAGCUGAGAGGAGGUGCAUGGCGUAGACGUCU
Molecule: ribosomal RNA, 261 nt
Filed under: uncultured archaeon
Lineage: Archaea
Description: partial 16S ribosomal RNA
Rfam family: Archaeal small subunit ribosomal RNA
Source: RNAcentral